This 253-nucleotide ribosomal RNA is filed under the name uncultured bacterium. RNAcentral describes it as "partial 16S ribosomal RNA". It matches the Rfam family "Bacterial small subunit ribosomal RNA", at positions 524 to 776 of the family's 1533-position model. The record is from RNAcentral.
UACGUAGGGAGCAAGCGUUGUCCGGAAUCAUUGGGCGUAAAGCGCGCGUAGGUGGCCCUGUAAAUCCGUUGUGAAAGUCAAAGGCUCAACCUUUGAAAGCCGAUGGAUACUGCAGGGCUAGAGUACGGAAGAGGCGAGUGGAAUUCCUGGUGUAGCGGUGAAAUGCGCAGAUAUCAGGAAGAACACCCGUGGCUAAGGCGGCUCUCUAGUACGGUACUGACGCUGAGACGCGAAAGCGUGGGGAGCGAACAGG